CCUACGGGAGGCUGCAGUGGGGAAUAUUGCACAAUGGGGGAAACCCUGAUGCAGCAACGCCGCGUGAGUGAAGAAGUAUUUCGGUAUGUAAAGCUCUUUCAGCCGGGAAGAAGAUGACGGUACCUGAGUCAGAAGCCCCGGCUAACUACGUGCCAGCAGCCGCGGUAAUACGUAGGGGGCAAGCGUUAUCCGGAUUUACUGGGUGUAACGGGAGCGUAGACGGUGAGACAAGACUGAAGUGAAAGCCCGGGGCUCAACCCCGGGACUGCUUUGGAAACUGCCUGACUGGAGUGAUGGAGAGGCAGGCGGAAUUCCUAGUGUAGCGGUGAAAUGCGUAGAUAUUAGGAAGAACACCAGUGGCGAAGGCGGCUUGCUGGACAGUAACUGACGUUGAGGCUCGAAAGCGUGGGGAGCAAACAGGAUUAGAUACCCUAGUAGUC
RNAcentral lists this ribosomal RNA (440 nucleotides) under uncultured bacterium. RNAcentral describes it as "partial 16S ribosomal RNA". It matches the Rfam family "Bacterial small subunit ribosomal RNA", at positions 338 to 795 of the family's 1533-position model. The record is from RNAcentral.